Long non-coding RNA from Puma concolor (puma), 927 nucleotides. RefSeq lists it as uncharacterized. The record is from RefSeq and is a predicted model, not a curated record. Lineage: Eukaryota; Metazoa; Chordata; Mammalia; Carnivora; Felidae.
AAAUAGCUGUCGCACUAAAAGUAAGGGCUCCACUCGGGGGGACGCUGGCUUCUCCCAGGACUGGUGAUGGAGUGGCCUGUGAUGUCAGGGUUCAGCCGAAGUCCAAAUCAAAAGGACCCUAAGAAACCGGCCCUAGAUGAAUUGUGUUCCAAAAGCGGCUUGGUGUUCAACCUCCCAAGGCUGGUCCGGGAAGAACGAGGGAAUGGUGGAAGCCCUAACCAGAACUAAGAACGAAAAGUAGCAAAAGUGAAGAAGAAAUGGCAAUUUCUCGAUUUCCCUGGUGCUUUAUAAUGAGCUUUCGGUUCAUUGCUUCUCAGCACCGACCAGGGAGGACUGCUUCACAUGAGCCUCAGCAGAGGUUGAGGACAAAUGAAGACCCCAGGCUUGGUGGCCUCCUGAACCUUCGGAGCAUCCUCAGCAGGGACGAGUCGAUGUGCACACGCUCUGAAUGUUCUCCUCCCCUAAGGUCUAUCGUCCAGGCCUGUGCCUUCCUCACGAGUUUCCUUCCAGUCAGAUGAAAGGAAGAAGGCAAAUCUAUCUGCUCCUUUCAAGAUGUCAAGGGCAAGGGCUUCUAGCAUCUCCUGGAAGGCAUUUCUUGACCACUGUCAGGAGGGUUUCCCUGCCCCUGGUCUGUUGCAGUUCAUAGGCUCCCAAGUCUCAGAAUAAUGGAGGACAGGCAGGUGGGGUAUCAGCCCCACAGAGACCCAUCCCCUGAGAAUAAGACAACCCAAAUGCGUAGGGGCUCAGGAGUGGGCGUGUUUCAAGAGGUCCAGGGUUGGGCACCACUGGGUCAGAGCACAUUCCUGCUGGGCCCUGCCCGCCUCUUGAGAGUGGAAAUCUCAUGGAGCAUCAGCCUUCCCCAGCCUCCGCCAUGUGUCCCCACCCCAUGCCUCUGCCUCUGCGUGUGAAAUAAACUCGAUUCUCUCU